AGGUCAAGCUACAAAGGGCGCACGGAGGAUGCCUUGGCACCAGGAGCCUAAGAAGGACGUGAUAAGCUGCGAAAAGCUCUGGGUAGGCGCAAAUAGCCAGAGAACCAGAGAUAUCCGAAUGGGGAAACCCACCCGGCAAAGACCGGGAACUGGAGUCUGAAUACAUAGGACUUCAGAGGCAAACCCGGGGAACUGAAACAUCUAAGUACCCGGAGGAAGAGAAAGAAAGAUCGAUUUUCCAAGUAGCGGCGAGCGAAAGGGAAAGAGCCCAAACCAGGAACUUGUUCCUGGGGUUGAGGUCAGGUCAAAAAGAGAGAGGAAGCUUAAGCGAAUACAACUGGAAAGUUGAGCCGCAGACGGUAAAAGCCCGGUAGGUGAAAAGCAGAGACUCGAAG
RNAcentral lists this ribosomal RNA (395 nucleotides) under Clostridium sp. HV4-5-A1G. RNAcentral describes it as "partial 23S ribosomal RNA". It matches the Rfam family "Bacterial large subunit ribosomal RNA", at positions 1 to 399 of the family's 2925-position model. The record is from RNAcentral. Lineage: Bacteria; Bacillati; Bacillota; Clostridia; Eubacteriales; Clostridiaceae.